AUGGGCGGCGAGGAGCGGCAUACCUCCAGCUGGGUGGUGGACAUGGAGAAGAUGCUGGCAGACGACGAUCCUUACUCCAGGAGGAUGGAGGAAAAGCGAUGGGAGGCGCAAUCCAUCUACCGGGUACCACAGUGGCUCAAGGGCACCAACACCAAAGCCUACCGGCCGCGGCUAGUGUCUUUGGGGCCCUUCCACCACGGCGACUCCAAUCUGCGGGCCAUGGAGGAGCACAAGGGACGCGCGUUAGUGCACCUGAUUAAGCGGAGCCAGAAGCCGCUCCAGGAUUUCAUCUCUGCCAUCGGCGACGUGGCAGAGGAGCUCGAGGCAGCAUACGGCAAGGAUCUCCAUAUGAAGUGGCGGAACAACAGACGGAGCUUUGUCGACCUGAUGCUCACGGACGGCUGCUUCCUUCUGGAGAUUAUUAGUGCACCUUUCCAGGAUUACAAGCUGCAUGAUCCCGUCUUCAGCAGGAGUGGCAGAGAACAAAUAGACCCCAUUCUCCGGUCUGACAUGCUACUGAUUGAGAACCAGCUGCCUCUGCUUGUUCUCAAGAAGAUCCUGGGUGUUGUGCGUCCUAAUAACAGUCCGGGGGUUGCAAUGGAUAUAGAUAUAAACCUCAUGGUGCUGAGUUUUCUAGGCCGGGCAGAUGAAGGCCGUGACAUUUCCAGCGUGUUUCUGAGGCUCCACCCCCUCGAACUUUAUCAUGGAAGCCUCACCUACAAUUACGGCGCGCAUGGAGAUUACAAAAAAUCGCGGGAGUACAAGAAGAGCGAGAGGGGCAACCUGCGGGACAUUCACUUCGAGCACGGAGUGUUGACUAUGCCAGUGAUGAGGGUGGACGACGGUACAGAGAGCCUGUACCUCAACCUGAUGGCGUUCGAGAGGCUGCAUGUCGGCGCUGGCGACCUCGUGACGGGCUAUGUGAUCUGCAUGGACCACAUGAUCGUCUCGGCCAAGGACGUGGCGACGUUGAGCUCCAGUGGAGUCCUCGUGAAUAUGAUAGGCUGCAACGAGAAGACGGCGAAGCUGUUCAACGGUACUCUGUCCAGAGGGCAACUUCUAGGCCGGUGCUAUGGUCUCCACAAAGUUCAGUACAACGUGAAUUUCUACUGUGGGAAGCCGUGGCACAAGUGGCGGGCCACCCUAGUGCGUACCCACUUCAGAAACCCCUGGGCAUUCGUCUCCCUCGCAGCCGCUGCCAUUCUACUCACCGCCACCCUGGUGCAGACCAUCUACACCGCCAUGCCUAACAAGUCAUGA
This 1260-nucleotide ribosomal RNA is filed under the name Triticum aestivum (bread wheat). RNAcentral's name for it is "partial small subunit ribosomal RNA". Lineage: Eukaryota; Viridiplantae; Streptophyta; Magnoliopsida; Poales; Poaceae. The record is from RNAcentral.